This 1505-nucleotide ribosomal RNA is filed under the name uncultured bacterium. RNAcentral describes it as "bacterial SSU rRNA". It matches the Rfam family "Bacterial small subunit ribosomal RNA". The record is from RNAcentral.
AGAGUUUGAUCCUGGCUCAGGACAAACGCUGGCGGCGUGCCUAACACAUGCAAGUCGAACGCACGUCUUCGCUUCGGCGGAGGGCGUGAGUGGCGGACGGGUGAGUAACACGUGGAUAACCUGCCUAGGUGUGGGGGAUAGCCUUCAGAAAUGAGGGAUAAUACCGCAUACGGCGGGGUGGAGGCGAGAGUCUCUGUCUCGGGAAAGUUCUUGCGUCGCAGGGCGUGAGGGCGCACCUAGAGGGGUCCGCGGCCGAUUAGCUAGUUGGGGGGGUAAGAGCUUCCCAAGGCGACGAUCGGUAGCUGGUCUGAGAGGAUGGUCAGCCACACUGGGAUUGAGAACGGCCCAGACUCCUACGGGGGGCAGCAGUGAGGGAUCUUCGGCAAUGGGGGCAACCCUGACCGAGCAACGCCGCGUGCGGGAGGACGCCUUUCGGGGUGUAAACCGCUUUUCUGGGGGACGAGGGAGUACGGACGGUACCCCAGGAAGAAGUCUCGGCUAACUACGUGCCAGCAGCCGCGGUAAUACGUAGGAGACGAGCGUUGUCCGGAGUUACUGGGCGUAAAGGGUGCGCAGGUGGCGGUGCGCGUGGGGGGUGAAAUCGCCCGGCUUAACUGGGCGGGGGCCUUCCAGACGGCAUGGCUUGAGCAGCGGAGGGGGACGUGGAAUUCCGGGUGGAGCGGUGAAAUGCGUAGAGAUCCGGAGGAACACCGACGGCGCAGGCAGCGUCCUGGCCGCUCGCUGACACUGAGGCACGAAAGCUGGGGGAGCAAACAGGAUUAGAUACCCUGGUAGUCCCAGCCGUAAACGAUGUCCACCAGGUGCUGGGCGGAUCGACCCGUUCAGUGCCGCAGCUUACGUGAUGAGUGGACCGCCUGGGGAGUACGGCCGCAAGGUUGAAACUCAAAGGAAUUGACGGGGGCCCGCACAAGCAGCGGAGUGUGUGGUUUAAUUCGAUGCGACGCGAAGAACCUUACCUGGGCUUGACAUGCGGCGGCACCAGGGGUAAUGCCCUGUCUCCUUCGGGAGCCGUCGCACAGGUGCUGCAUGGCUGUCGUCAGCUCGUGCCGUGAGGUGUUGGGUUAAGUCCCCUAACGAGCGCAACCCUCGGGGUCCGUUGGACAUCUUUCUCGGGCCCGACUGCCGCGCGCAACGCGGAGGAAGGUGGGGAUGACGUCAAGUCAGCACGGCCCUGACGUCCAGGGCGACACACACACUACAAUGGCCGGGACAACGGGUCGCGCUUGCCCGCGAGGGUUGGCCAAUCCCUAAAACCCGGUCUCAGUUCGGAUGGCAGGCUGCAACUCGCCUGCCUGAAGCGGGAGUUGCUAGUAACCGCGGGUCAGCAUACCGCGGUGAAUACGUUCCCGGGCCUUGUACACACCGCCCGUCACACCACGAAAGCCGGCGACACCUGAAGCCGUCGGGCGAACCUUGGGGCAACCCAAGGGGGCAGACGUCGAGGGUGGGGUUGGUGAUUGGGGUGAAGUCGUAACAAGGUAACC